AGCACCAUGUUUUCACCACACUCUUCCGCUUCAGCUGUCUUUUUUGCCUCAUGGCUAUACCCACACUGACCACUCCUUCAAUGAAGACAGUAAUGAGAUCAUCUGCACACUCCACAGAGCUCCAGAGUUACUGUUCAUAGCAAAAGUGUAAUGCUGUCCUUGGAGAUUUUCACCUAAGACUGUGAGUGUGAGUGUGUAAUGGAUUUCAAAGUGUUUAAGUGUUCAGAGCACUCUACAGCCUGGUAAGGUGGCAAGUUUGAAAAGAGCAGCAGAAGGUAUCAGUACUGUAGUGUAACUUGUUCUUUUCCUUUCCUAACAGUGAACAGAGUGCCGAUUAUUAUCGACAGCUACGUCCACCCGGGGUGAAAGUAGUGUGGGAGACCAUCAGGACCCAGCUGGGUUUCCUUGGUCCAGAGGUUUGGAGAAACCUCUUCCUUUUCUUUCAUCACAGCUGUCCUGUGCCAGAUGUUCUGUUGACCCACUGAGAGAGGCGUGUUUGAGAAAGAUCAGGAAGACUGAAGCUCAUGGUAGGAAUGAAGGAGGACCUUGUGAGCUCCACCAGCAGCUCCCUCACAAGGAACUGUUCACAAGUCCACUGCAGGCACGCCCCAGAAGAUGGAUAAAGGCAGCGUUUCAUGAAGACACUGGAACCAAUCUAUCUUCAUAACAGCAGGAUAAAGACAUGGUGAUAAAUGAGUGUGUGGGCCGUCUGCUGAGGACCAGGAGCUCAGGACACUCAGACGGGGGCGUCGCAGCAGGAGUCACCGCGCACCACAAUCCUCUGCUGUUCUGAGAUGUCACACUCCUGCCUGCACAUAGAAACCACAGUGAAGUCAAAGUUCCACCUGCACCUCCACCUGUUCUUGCAACAGCAUGAACACUGACAGAGGAGGAAGGUGGAGGCGCAGCUCCAGCAGAGCAACACCAGAGGU
Long non-coding RNA from Oreochromis niloticus (Nile tilapia), 932 nucleotides. RefSeq lists it as uncharacterized. The transcript is spliced from 4 exons. NCBI's taxonomy places the organism in Eukaryota, Metazoa, Chordata, Actinopteri, Cichliformes, Cichlidae. The record is from RefSeq and is a predicted model, not a curated record.